RNAcentral lists this long non-coding RNA (1297 nucleotides) under Dromaius novaehollandiae (emu). Its description in RNAcentral is "lncRNA (ENSDNVG00000008257.1)". The record is from RNAcentral. Lineage: Eukaryota; Metazoa; Chordata; Aves; Casuariiformes; Dromaiidae.
GUUGUAAAUCUGUUGUGUGUCACACACAUUCCUGGUUUUCCACCAUGCAGGUCUGACUGGUGUUCAUGAGUGAGCUGUGUUUCAUUUCCACGUCAGGUUAAAUGAGAGGGUGUGUGGCAGAGCAGAGGGACUGAGAUGGAGAGCACUGACAGGCACGGCUGUGGCACCUGCUUCCCUCUUACUCAGACUUCAACUGUUCCCUCUGCUCAAACUUGUGGCUGUCGUGUSCUUGGGAGCAGUGCCCACCGCAGGGGCGAAGUCAGGAACUGGAAGGUGUUUCAGGUAAGCAUCCGCUAAUGAUGCUAUUAGCUCUURUCCUGCCGUAACUCAUGGUUAUGGUCUUUGUUUGUAAAACAUGAGACAAAGACCAGGAUGAAAGAGACAUCAAAGCGUAACAGAAGGGAAAAGUGUGGAUUGAUGCCUUUACUAGGUAGCUCACCAAACACACUGAAGUCCUCCAGACAGAUGACAUUGAGGAGGGAAGGAUAAUGRGAGGAAAAAUGAGAAGCAAGAGGUGAGGAUUAUCACAUCCUCUGGAAUCASUGUAGCCACGAGACUUUGCAACCAGUGUGCUCAGCCUUGCACGUGGGCCUUCCAGAGCUGGUGAGAAGUUCUGAGUGGAGCCACAGGCUUGGCUGUCUUUCCAGCCUGCGGGGUCAACAGUCGGAGACUGCGGAAGGUGAGAGGCAGCAGAGGAGGAAACACAGUAGCGAUAGUGUCUGGAUCAGCAUCACAAAAGAGGAGGGACCAGAUGAGGACACCAGUGGUCUGAAAUCAAGCCAGCCUGGGACGCCCUGAUGGCGCUUGGGCAGGUAACAAGGUCCUUGUUAUUUCCAAGGGAGCAAAACCAUGAAGCAUCCUGGGACUGGUCAGGGACGGGAGAAUACAUGUAGCACUGCGAUGGGGAUGGUUGUUUGCAACCCAUGAGGGCAAGACAUGGCUGUGGGCAUGGGAAAGGUGCCAGUCACCCUUUUGGGUGCCAGAUAAAAAGGAUGCUGGAGGGGAGUCUUUCUGCAGCAGGUCAGCAACCAGAACGAUGUAUCUAGACCUGCAUGUUAGAAACACAAGGCCAGUUGUGGCAGUCCAGCAUGGAGAAGAUCAUGAUCCACUUGUAGGGCAGUGAUCGCUUUGUGCUGUCCCUUCUCUGUGUGCRCUUGGGACUCUUUGGAGUCGAGCUGGAGCUGCUCAUUGCCGGACGCAGGCUGAUCUUCUAGCUGCCAGCAAAGCCRCACACGUGGUGAGACAUCUGAGCACCUGAGCCGCCGCCAGCCCAGCCGUUCUGCAGGAGACACUGGCC